Molecule: ribosomal RNA, 254 nt
Filed under: uncultured bacterium
Lineage: Bacteria
Description: partial 16S ribosomal RNA
Rfam family: Bacterial small subunit ribosomal RNA
Source: RNAcentral
CACGUAGGGUGCGGGCGUUGUCCGGAAUUAUUGGGCGUAAAGAGCUCGUAGGCGGUGUGUCGCGUCGGCCGUGAAAACCUGCAGCUCAACUGUGGGCUUGCGGUCGAUACGGGCAUCACUGGAGUUCGGCAGGGGAGACUGGAAUUCCUGGUGUAGCGGUGAAAUGCGCAGAUAUCAGGAGGAACACCGGUGGCGAAGGCGGGUCUCUGGGCCGAUACUGACGCUGAGGAGCGAAAGCGUGGGGAGCAAACAGG